CAGUAGCCACGGGAAUACAGAGGGUGCGAGCGUUAAUCGGAUUUACUGGGCGUAAAGCGUGCGUAGGCGGCUUUUUAAGUCGGAUGUGAAAUCCCUGAGCUUAACUUAGGAAUUGCAUUCGAUACUGGGAAGCUAGAGUAUGGGAGAGGAUGGUAGAAUUCCAGGUGUAGCGGUGAAAUGCGUAGAGAUCUGGAGGAAUACCGAUGGCGAAGGCAGCCAUCUGGCCUAAUACUGACGCUGAGGUACGAAAGCAUGGGGAGCAAACAGGAUUAGAUACCCCCGUAGUCCCUGUCUCUUUACC
RNAcentral lists this ribosomal RNA (301 nucleotides) under uncultured bacterium. Its description in RNAcentral is "partial 16S ribosomal RNA". It matches the Rfam family "Bacterial small subunit ribosomal RNA", at positions 509 to 808 of the family's 1533-position model. The record is from RNAcentral.